Molecule: long non-coding RNA, 223 nt
Filed under: Carica papaya (papaya)
Lineage: Eukaryota; Viridiplantae; Streptophyta; Magnoliopsida; Brassicales; Caricaceae
Description: long non-coding RNA (CPAP_LNC014689)
Source: RNAcentral
GGCGCACUGUGAAGCCGUGUUCGGACUCCGAAAUGAGUAAGGACCCCUCACCCUAUUUCCUAUCACGGUAUUAAAGUUCAAUAAUGAUAAAACGGUAUUUCUUGAAUCAACGAAUAUGUGAAAUUGCUUAAGGUCGCUAAUGAAGCCCGAGUCUAGUGUGUUUAUCAGUAAACUGUUAUUUGGCCUAUUUUACAGUUUUAAAUGCAGUAUGAGGUUUGAUGUU